RNAcentral lists this unclassified non-coding RNA (227 nucleotides) under Hevea brasiliensis (rubber tree). Lineage: Eukaryota; Viridiplantae; Streptophyta; Magnoliopsida; Malpighiales; Euphorbiaceae. The record is from RNAcentral.
CGAAACCCUAGCACUCAUUAUUCAACGACCUUCUACUUCUAGAGAGUCACUUUUUAUUUAAGACUGUCGAAUUUAAUUUCUGACGCCAGAAUUGGAGACGGAUAGAGAGGGAUGGAUCAUUUUUGGCUGGGAGGGAUCACUUUUCUAUAUGAUCACUCUCAAUUUCUUGGGAAGACAGAGAGAAUUUUUGAGGGGGAGUAGAAGAUGAUGCAGAGACGGAGUCCACC